UCUGCCCCUGCUCCUCUCCCAUCGUGUACAGAUCCUCCCUGCGCGAGCCUAGGCCCAUGGCCCCGCGUGAACGCCUCGGGUUGGUUGGUGGGCACCUGCCGCCGUAAGGCGCUCACGUCAUGUGCCAGAUCGCGCCGCCGUGGGCGUAGGCGGAGGCCGACAAGGAGAGGCGGUCGUAGCUGCUCUUGCUGGUGAGCGGGGAGGAGUCGAUCGCAACAGAGCGGGCAGGUGGUGCGCGGGCGGACGAGUCAGGCGUCGAUGCAGGCGUGGUGGAAGAAGUGGUGGCACCGCAGCUCGCGCACCUCCUCGCCGUCGCGGACCACGGAGAGGCAGAAGGCGCAUUCCGAGUCCGUCUCUGCCGCCUGCUCCUCCUGGCCCUGCGCUUGCCUGCGGCGGUAGCUUAAAGAUGAAGGCAUCAAUAGCAGUAGUCUGGGCCUGGAGUUGCAGACUCUGUCUCUAGAUCGGAGAAGAGUAGCAGGCGCUGGCUAACGCACGAACAAGCAACAGUGGGUUCUGUUUUAUUAAUAAUAGGUCACUCUGAUUGUCAAGCACUUCGAUGAUACGAGGAUACUGAAUCCUGGCUUGAAGAAUUUAUGCUUGUUUUCGAGAACAAUUGGGGGGAUGUAAAUAAGAUGCCUAAUUCACUUUUAUUAGCUUUCAACAAAAGAUCAUGGAUUCCUGUUAUAAAGAUACUUUCCCGGUUCUGCAUCAUAUCAACAGCUGAUGCGAUUUUCAACCACAUCAUAUCAGCAGCUGAUGCCGAGUUCUUUGACAUUGCUGCAGGAGAAGGACUUGGAGCAGUUCAGGCAAUGGGCAAGCAGCACAGCGGGCUACCCUGAAAACUUUGAGACUCUUGGAGUUAAAAUUACCUCUGGAUCUCUUGGUCCGGGUAUCGCCAAUGCAGAUGGGUUGGCACUUGAUGAGACAACUUUAAUAAAUUGGAUUUUUAUCAAGUGUACGCUUACACAUGUCUAAACUGGUAGAUACCACUGUAGAAUCAACCUUUAAUUAUUU
This is a long non-coding RNA of Sorghum bicolor (sorghum), 1014 nucleotides long. RefSeq lists it as uncharacterized. The transcript has 3 exons. The record is from RefSeq and is a predicted model, not a curated record. Lineage: Eukaryota; Viridiplantae; Streptophyta; Magnoliopsida; Poales; Poaceae.